CCGCGGUAAUACGAAGGGGGCUAGCGUUGUUCGGAUUUACUGGGCGUAAAGCGCGUGUAGGCGGGUCGUUAAGUUGGGGGUGAAAUCCCGAGGCUCAACCUCGGAACUGCCUUCAAAACUGGCGACCUGGAGCAAGAUAGAGGCAAGUGGAAUUGCGAGUGUAGAGGUGAAAUUCGUAGAUAUUCGCAGGAACACCAGUGGCGAAGGCGACUUGCUGGAUCUUUGCUGACGCUGAGACGCGAAAGCGUGGGGAGCAAACAGG
Molecule: ribosomal RNA, 262 nt
Filed under: uncultured bacterium
Lineage: Bacteria
Description: partial 16S ribosomal RNA
Rfam family: Bacterial small subunit ribosomal RNA
Source: RNAcentral